UACCCUCACCACCACCACUGGACUUUCGU
RNAcentral lists this small RNA (29 nucleotides) under Bombyx mori (domestic silkworm). RNAcentral describes it as "piRNA piR-bmo-2046290". Lineage: Eukaryota; Metazoa; Arthropoda; Insecta; Lepidoptera; Bombycidae. The record is from RNAcentral.